RNAcentral lists this ribosomal RNA (253 nucleotides) under uncultured bacterium. RNAcentral describes it as "partial 16S ribosomal RNA". It matches the Rfam family "Bacterial small subunit ribosomal RNA", at positions 524 to 776 of the family's 1533-position model. The record is from RNAcentral.
UACGGGGGGGGCGAGCGUUGUUCGGAAUUACUGGGCGUAAAGGGUUUGUAGGUGGCCUGCUAAGUCAGACGUGAAAUCCCUCAGCUUAACUGGGGAACUGCGUCUGAUACUGGCGGGCUUGAGGACAGGAGAGGAACGCGGAAUUCCAGGUGUAGCGGUGAAAUGCGUAGAUAUCUGGAGGAACACCGGUGGCGAAGGCGGCGUUCUGGACUGCAACUGACACUGAAAAACGAAAGCCAGGGGAGCAAACGGG